RNAcentral lists this long non-coding RNA (208 nucleotides) under Mytilus galloprovincialis (Mediterranean mussel). The record is from RNAcentral. Lineage: Eukaryota; Metazoa; Mollusca; Bivalvia; Mytilida; Mytilidae.
UCUAUUUUAACUACAGCAAUUUGGGGGACUGUCGUUUGCGUUCUUUCGAGGCCUCCUGGUGAAUAAAACAAAGAUGUCUAUAUAUGUUUAUUUCGAGUCCAACCAUACGAGUAAAUUAAUCAAAUACAUAAAUAUGAAAUAAAGAGUUUGAUUCUUAAAAUGAAAUUGAAUUAACAAUUAUCAAAAUACUUUAUCAAUUAAUUAAAAU